Molecule: non-coding RNA, 723 nt
Organism: Benincasa hispida (wax gourd)
Lineage: Eukaryota; Viridiplantae; Streptophyta; Magnoliopsida; Cucurbitales; Cucurbitaceae
Source: RefSeq, a predicted model, not a curated record
GGUCAUUGUGCAUUUUUUUUCUCCCCAGUUUGUAUAUUUCACAAGGCCUCUUCAUUGAACAACACCCACAAACCCUUCAUUUUCUCUCCAUCUUACUUUCAUCUUCUUCUUCCUUCGAACAACACCCACAAACCCACAACUAACCUAGCAUUGUCUUCUUCAUUCACAACAUCGUCUUCUUCUUCUUAGUAUUUUAUUCUCUCUCAUUCACAGCUUUCACUUGUCGGGCAUUGAAGAUUUUUGGUUGUCAAGCAUUUUUCGAGCAUCUGUUUCUUGUCUUCUCUCAAAUUUGAAUAUGUGAUUCCACUGCUUUCCUCUUAUUCGGAUUCACAUUUUCCCACAACUUUCUAAAUCGAUUUUUUGGUGAAUUGAAUAAGUGAAGAUAUGGGCUCGUCGUCUACAUAGGUCGUUCGGGUAAUGCAGGUGAAUUGAAUAAGUGAAGAUUGGGCUCGUGGUCUACAUAGGUCGUUUGGGUAAUGCAGGACCUUUAAAUCCAUCAAGUUUCAUAUCCAAGGAGCCCUACGAUAUAUGUUUUUAUAUUUUUAUUUUUUGUCAUCUUUUGUUCUUGUAUUGUUGUCCCUGUCUUUUGUGAUUCAACUGUUAAGUUUUUUUUUCUCUAUUCCUUUUUUGUUUCUUGUCAACCGUAUAUAGGCCAUCAUUGUAUUUGUUCAUAUGGAAGUUCCAACUUUCUUUCUUUUGUUUCCAGACAAAGUAAAAUUUUUA